Vidua chalybeata is the source of this 376-nucleotide long non-coding RNA. RefSeq lists it as uncharacterized. The record is from RefSeq and is a predicted model, not a curated record. NCBI's taxonomy places the organism in Eukaryota, Metazoa, Chordata, Aves, Passeriformes, Viduidae. The transcript is spliced from 2 exons.
AGCUGCGGGUGCGCGGCAGGGAGGGCACUGCCGCAUCGCCCUCCUUCCCUGCGCCUUCCGCCUCUGGAGAACGCUGCUGGGAAAUGGUUAUGGUGCUGCCCGAGCCGGAGCCCGGCCGGCUGGGCUGCAGGGAGCGUCCCGGCACGGCGCUCCCGGGGGGCCGCGGUAGCGCCCGGCGCGGUCUGAAAAUCAUUCGGGGUCUGCCGUGUCCCCGGGUGCCGUUCGGGGCUGCGCUGCCGCUCCCACGGCGAUCCCUUCCCCGGAGGAGCGGUGAAGAGCACGGGGCUGCCGUGAUGGACGGCGACGCGGGAGUCGCGGCUGGCAACGAUUCGUUUUUAUAUUUUAACGUGCAAUAAAAGACGGAAUGCGUAAAAGA